UGCCAGACUCCUACGGGAGGCAGCAGUGAGGAAUAUUGGUCAAUGGGCUUACGCCUGAACCAGCCAAGUCGCGUGAGGGAAGACUGCCCUAUGGGUUGUAAACCUCUUUUGUCGGGGAGCAAAGCGAGUCACGUGUGACUCAUUGAGAGUACCCGAAGAAAAAGCAUCGGCUAACUCCGUGCCAGCAGCCGCGGUAAUACGGAGGAUGCGAGCGUUAUCCGGAUUUAUUGGGUUUAAAGGGUGCGCAGGCGGAGGUGCAAGUCAGCGGUAAAAUGUCGGGGCUCAACCCCGGCCUGCCGUUGAAACUGGCGGCCUCGAGUGGGCGAGAAGUAUGCGGAAUGCGUGGUGUAGCGGUGAAAUGCAUAGAUAUCACGCAGAACCCCGAUUGCGAAGGCAGCAUACCGGCGCCCUACUGACGCUGAGGCACGAAAGUGCGGGUAUCGAACAGGAUUAGAUACCCCCGUAACA
This 468-nucleotide ribosomal RNA is filed under the name uncultured bacterium. RNAcentral's name for it is "bacterial SSU rRNA". It matches the Rfam family "Bacterial small subunit ribosomal RNA", at positions 329 to 794 of the family's 1533-position model. The record is from RNAcentral.